RNAcentral lists this ribosomal RNA (373 nucleotides) under uncultured organism. Its description in RNAcentral is "bacterial SSU rRNA". It matches the Rfam family "Bacterial small subunit ribosomal RNA", at positions 526 to 896 of the family's 1533-position model. The record is from RNAcentral.
CGGAGGGUGCAAGCGUUGUUCGGAAUUAUUGGGCGUAAAGCGCGCGCAGGCGGUCGAACAAGUCUAUGGGUCAAAGGCCGGGGCUCAACCCCGCGUACGCCCAGGAUACUGUUCGACUGGAGACACGUAGAGGCAAGCGGAAUUUCGGGUGUAGCGGUGGAAUGCGUAGAUAUCCGAAAGAACACCGGAGGCGAAGGCGGCUUGCUGGGCGUGAUCUGACGCUGAGGCGCGAAAGCGUGGGGAGCGAACAGGAUUAGAUACCCUGGUAGUCUACGCUGUAAACGAUGGGCACUGGAUGCGGGGGGGAUCGGCCCUCUCCGUGUCGCAGCUUACGCGUUAAGUGCCCCGCCUGGGGAGUACGGCCGCAAGGCUG